AAUAUAUAAAAGCUGAAGUAAGAGAGAUGUAGAUUUAUGAUAAUUUAAUUCAUGAAACUGCAACUUUAACAGUCUUCGCCUUAGAUGGUGGAGGCAUCUUUUCAACUACAACAGUUAACACCCCAUUCUCGCAUUUGGCAGUAAUAGCAGAAACAUUGCAGUAAUCGGGCAGCUUGAACUUCCUCAUCAGUUUGAGGGGUGGAUUCCUCUCCAACCUCACGUACUUGCAUCCCUCUUCUUCACUCUCCUCGCGCUUCCUCUUCCCGUUGCUUCGUAUCACCAGCGUCUUCUCAUCUUCCACACUCACCUGUAUGUCAGAUUUGGAUAAACCAGGAACAUCCAUAUAAAAAAUGUACUCUUUUGGGGUAUCCAGAAUGUCCACGGGAAUGGUACCCCUACUCUCAUUUGACCUAGAAGGACUCACAAGCCUCUCAAUGGAUUCUGGAAAGAGAAGUUGGCUCACUACAUCCACAACAGAGCUCAUUUUCAAGAUUGUUUGCAGCCUAU
RNAcentral lists this unclassified non-coding RNA (507 nucleotides) under Hevea brasiliensis (rubber tree). The record is from RNAcentral. Lineage: Eukaryota; Viridiplantae; Streptophyta; Magnoliopsida; Malpighiales; Euphorbiaceae.